RNAcentral lists this ribosomal RNA (440 nucleotides) under uncultured bacterium. Its description in RNAcentral is "bacterial SSU rRNA". It matches the Rfam family "Bacterial small subunit ribosomal RNA", at positions 339 to 794 of the family's 1533-position model. The record is from RNAcentral.
GUACGGGAGGCAGCAGUGGGGAAUAUUGCACAAUGGGCGAAAGCCUGAUGCAGCAACGCCGCGUGAGCGAUGAAGGCCUUUGGGUCGUAAAGCUCUGUCCUUGGGGAAGAAAAAAAUGACGGUACCCUUGGAGGAAGCCCCGGCUAACUACGUGCCAGCAGCCGCGGUAAUACGUAGGGGGCAAGCGUUAUCCGGAAUUAUUGGGCGUAAAGAGUGCGUAGGUGGUUUUGUAAGCGCGAGGUGAAAGGCAAUAGCUCAACUAUUGUAAGCCUUGCGAACUGCAAGACUUGAGUGCAGGAGAGGAAAGUGGAAUUCCUAGUGUAGCGGUGAAAUGCGUAGAUAUUAGGAGGAACACCAGUGGCGAAGGCGACUUUCUGGACUGUAACUGACACUGAGGCACGAAAGCGUGGGGAGCAAACAGGAUUAGAUACCCCGGUAGG